Molecule: non-coding RNA, 75 nt
Organism: Haemonchus contortus (barber pole worm)
Lineage: Eukaryota; Metazoa; Nematoda; Chromadorea; Rhabditida; Trichostrongylidae
Source: Rfam
GACACAAACUUGAUGUAGAAUAGUUGGGUAUGGUCAGCUGAUCCUACUAAUCUACUCGACUUCAAGUUUGUGCUC